This 492-nucleotide ribosomal RNA is filed under the name uncultured bacterium. RNAcentral describes it as "partial 16S ribosomal RNA". It matches the Rfam family "Bacterial small subunit ribosomal RNA", at positions 29 to 507 of the family's 1533-position model. The record is from RNAcentral.
AGUGAAUGCUGGCGGUAGGCCUAACACAUGCAAGUCGAACGGCAGCACAGUAAGAGCUUGCUCUUACGGGUGGCGAGUGGCGGACGGGUGAGGAAUACAUCGGAAUCUACUUUUUCGUGGGGGAUAACGUAGGGAAACUUACGCUAAUACCGCAUACGACCUACGGGUGAAAGCAGGGGAUCUUCGGACCUUGCGCGAUUGAAUGAGCCGAUGUCGGAUUAGCUAGUUGGCGGGGUAAAGGCCCACCAAGGCGACGAUCCGUAGCUGGUCUGAGAGGAUGAUCAGCCACACUGGAACUGAGACACGGUCCAGACUCCUACGGGAGGCAGCAGUGGGGAAUAUUGGACAAUGGGCGCAAGCCUGAUCCAGCCAUACCGCGUGGGUGAAGAAGGCCUUCGGGUUGUAAAGCCCUUUUGUUGGGAAAGAAAAGCAGCGGGUUAAUACCCCGCUGUUCUGACGGUACCCAAAGAAUAAGCACCGGCUAACUUCGUG